This 64-nucleotide transfer RNA is filed under the name Macrotermes malaccensis. Its description in RNAcentral is "tRNA-Arg". Lineage: Eukaryota; Metazoa; Arthropoda; Insecta; Blattodea; Termitidae. The record is from RNAcentral.
AAGUGAGAAGCAAAUAUUGCAAUCAGUUUCGACCUGAUCUUAGGUAAGAAAUUAUCCACACUUU